RNAcentral lists this ribosomal RNA (139 nucleotides) under uncultured Sphingobacteriales bacterium. Its description in RNAcentral is "partial 16S ribosomal RNA". The record is from RNAcentral. Lineage: Bacteria; Pseudomonadati; Bacteroidota; Sphingobacteriia; Sphingobacteriales.
AUUCUCUAGGUACCUUCAACAGCGGAUGAAUCCACUGAUUUAUUCCCUAGCUAAAGGAGUUUACAACCCAUAGGGCCUUAUUCCUCCACGCGGGAUGGCUGGAUCAGAGUUGCCUCCAUUGUCCAAUAUUCCUUACUGC